RNAcentral lists this ribosomal RNA (253 nucleotides) under uncultured bacterium. RNAcentral describes it as "partial 16S ribosomal RNA". It matches the Rfam family "Bacterial small subunit ribosomal RNA", at positions 524 to 776 of the family's 1533-position model. The record is from RNAcentral.
UACAGAGGGUGCAAGCGUUAAUCGGAAUUACUGGGCGUAAAGCGUGCGUAGACGGUUAUGCAAGUCGGAUGUGAAAGCCCCGGGCUCAACCUGGGAAUGGCAUUCGAAACUGCAUAGCUAGGGUGCGGAAGAGGGAAGCGGAAUUUCGGGUGUAGCGGUGAAAUGCGUAGAUAUCCGAAGGAACAUCAGUGGCGAAAGCGGCUUCCUGGUCCAGCACCGACGUUCAGGCACGAAAGCGUGGGGAGCAAACAGG